RNAcentral lists this ribosomal RNA (277 nucleotides) under uncultured gamma proteobacterium GE1. RNAcentral's name for it is "partial 16S ribosomal RNA". It matches the Rfam family "Bacterial small subunit ribosomal RNA", at positions 234 to 504 of the family's 1533-position model. Lineage: Bacteria; Pseudomonadati; Pseudomonadota; Gammaproteobacteria. The record is from RNAcentral.
CGUUAGAUUAGCUAGUUGGUGGGGUAAAGGCCUACCAAGGCGACGAUCUAUAGCUGGUCUGAGAGGACGAUCAGCCACACUGGGACUGAGACACGGCCCAGACUCCUACGGGAGGCAGCAGUGGGGAAUAUUGGACAAUGGGCGAAAGCCUGAUCCAGCAAUACCGCGUGUGUGAAGAAGGCCUUCGGGUUGUAAAGCACUUUCAAUUGGGAGGAAAACCUACCGGUCAAUACCCGGUAGCUUGACAUUACCUUUAGAAGAAGCACCGGCUAACUCC